UGAAGAAGAGCUUUAAAUGACAUCUUUCAGUGGACUGCUAGGGACUAUGUCCUCAUUUGUUCUUCCUGUAAAGAAUUUCUGUCGUUGCUUUUCUGCUACUCAAAUUAUAUCACAAAAGAAGUUAUCCUGUAUGUUAGAAGAUAGAAGCAUCUUACGUGGACCCUUUUCCUGCUGAUCAUCCUAACAGGCAAGGUUCUGGUCAGCAUGAUGCAUGUCUCGAGUUUUAUGAGCACUUGGGAAUCACCA
This 246-nucleotide long non-coding RNA is filed under the name Rattus norvegicus (Norway rat). Its description in RNAcentral is "long non-coding RNA NONRATT032586". The record is from RNAcentral. Lineage: Eukaryota; Metazoa; Chordata; Mammalia; Rodentia; Muridae.